Molecule: long non-coding RNA, 200 nt
Filed under: Linum usitatissimum (flax)
Lineage: Eukaryota; Viridiplantae; Streptophyta; Magnoliopsida; Malpighiales; Linaceae
Description: long non-coding RNA (LUSI_LNC000017)
Source: RNAcentral
ACUCAAUGACCACGUCCAUUGGCGAAAAGUUCCUCCACCAAAUUGCUCAUGAGAUCUGGGAAGGUACGAGACGCACUUACUCCAAUCAGGCCAACAAAGCAGAGGCCUUCGAUGUGGAGAUGCUCUCCAUGAUCUCAAGCAGGGGGAGAAAUCAGUCACUCAAUAUUAUGACGAACUGAGUAAGUGCUGGCUACAGCAGG